Molecule: ribosomal RNA, 702 nt
Filed under: uncultured bacterium
Lineage: Bacteria
Description: bacterial SSU rRNA
Rfam family: Bacterial small subunit ribosomal RNA
Source: RNAcentral
ACACAUGCAGUCGAGCGGGGAAGGUAGCUUGCUACCUGACCUAGCGGCGGACGGGUGAGUAAUGCUUAGGAAUCUGCCUAUUAGUGGGGGACAACGUUCCGAAAGGAACGCUAAUACCGCAUACGCCCUACGGGGGAAAGCAGGGGAUCUUCGGACCUUGCGCUAAUAGAUGAGCCUAAGUCGGAUUAGCUAGUUGGUGGGGUAAAGGCCUACCAAGGCGACGAUCUGUAGCGGGUCUGAGAGGAUGAUCCGCCACACUGGGACUGAGACACGGCCCAGACUCCUACGGGAGGCAGCAGUGGGGAAUAUUGGACAAUGGGCGGAAGCCUGAUCCAGCCAUGCCGCGUGUGUGAAGAAGGCCUUUUGGUUGUAAAGCACUUUAAGCGAGGAGGAGGCUCCUUUAGUUAAUACCUAAAGAGAGUGGACGUUACUCGCAGAAUAAGCACCGGCUAACUCUGUGCCAGCAGCCGCGGUAAUACAGAGGGUGCGAGCGUUAAUCGGAUUUACUGGGCGUAAAGCGUGCGUAGGCGGCUUUUUAAGUCGGAUGUGAAAUCCCUGAGCUUAACUUAGGAAUUGCAUUCGAUACUGGAAAGCUAGAGUAUGGGAGAGGAUGGUAGAAUUCCAGGUGUAGCGGUGAAAUGCGUAGAGAUCUGGAGGAAUACCGAUGGCGAAAGCAGCCAUCUGGCCUAAUACUGACGCUGA